AUGUAUCCACUUUGUUUUGGAAUUUUUGAUUCCGAAACAAAUGAGAACUGGAUCUGGUUCAUGCAAUUGCUUAGGCAAUCCAUAGGAUCGCCAAGGGGUUUAGCCAUAAGCACUGAUGCUGGGCAGGCGGUGAUGACAGGGGUAAAGGAAGUUUUCCCAGAGGUAGAACAUAGGGAAUGCAUGUUCCACUUGGUGUCAAACUUCAAGAAAAAGUAUCACGGAAAGGUAUUUGAUGACCAUCUUUGGGUUGUUGCUUACUCAUGGAACAAGUAUAUAUUUGACAAAAAUUGGGUUGCAAUGGAGACAGCAAAGCCAGCGGCAACUACAUAUCUUAGGAAGUGGCACACUAGGUUGUGGACUAGGAGUCAGUUCUCAACCAUUUGUAAGGUGGACUGUGUAACCAAUAACCUGGCAGAGUGCUUCAAUAAAUGGAUUAAGCACCACAAGUCCUUGAACUUGGAUGACUUAAUGGACAAGCUUAGGCAGAUGAUUAUGAUCAUGUGGAAUCGAAGGAGAAAAGUAGCAAAGAAGUUAGCUGGCUUAUUAAUUUUGCCCCUCAUAAUGAAGAAGUUGAAUGCAAAGAGUAGAGAGUUAAACUUGGAGGUGGUAGAAAGCUCAGAAGAAGUUGCUGAAGUUACUCAAUUGGGAGGCAGUGGGUCUUUGUCGUCAACUUGCAUGACAACACAUGUUCUUGUAGACAAUGGCAAGUUUCCGGCCUUCCUUGCAAGCAUGCUCUAG
This 738-nucleotide ribosomal RNA is filed under the name Triticum aestivum (bread wheat). Its description in RNAcentral is "partial small subunit ribosomal RNA". The record is from RNAcentral. Lineage: Eukaryota; Viridiplantae; Streptophyta; Magnoliopsida; Poales; Poaceae.